UACAGAGGUCUCAAGCGUUGUUCGGAUUCAUUGGGCGUAAAGGGUGCGUAGGCGGCGCGGUAAGUCGGAUGUGAAAUCUCGGAGCUUAACUCCGAAACUGUAUUCGAUACUGCCGUGCUUGAGGACUGGAGAGGAGACUGGAAUUUACGGUGUAGCGGUGAAAUGCGUAGAUAUCGUAAGGAAGACCAGUGGCGAAGGCGGGUCUCUGGACAGUUCCUGACGCUGAGGCACGAAGGCCAGGGGAGCAAACGGG
Molecule: ribosomal RNA, 253 nt
Filed under: uncultured bacterium
Lineage: Bacteria
Description: partial 16S ribosomal RNA
Rfam family: Bacterial small subunit ribosomal RNA
Source: RNAcentral